RNAcentral lists this ribosomal RNA (482 nucleotides) under uncultured bacterium. Its description in RNAcentral is "partial 16S ribosomal RNA". It matches the Rfam family "Bacterial small subunit ribosomal RNA", at positions 30 to 507 of the family's 1533-position model. The record is from RNAcentral.
AUUGAACGCUGGCGGCAUGCCUUACACAUGCAAGUCGAACGGUAACAGGUCUUCGGAUGCUGACGAGUGGCGAACGGGUGAGUAAUACAUCGGAACGUGCCCGAUCGUGGGGGAUAACGAAGCGAAAGCUUUGCUAAUACCGCAUACGAUCUACGGAUGAAAGCAGGGGACCGCAAGGCCUUGCGCGAACGGAGCGGCCGAUGGCAGAUUAGGUAGUUGGUGGGAUAAAAGCUUACCAAGCCGACGAUCUGUAGCUGGUCUGAGAGGACGACCAGCCACACUGGGACUGAGACACGGCCCAGACUCCUACGGGAGGCAGCAGUGGGGAAUGUUGGACAAUGGGCGAAAGCCUGAUCCAGCCAUGCCGCGUGCAGGAUGAAGGCCUUCGGGUUGUAAACUGCUUUUGUACGGAACGAAAAGACUCUGGUUAAUACCUGGGGUCCAUGACGGUACCGUAAGAAUAAGCACCGGCUAACUACGUG